AAAAUUCAAGUUCAAGGAUCAAACCAAGGGCCUGGUGGGAAAUAAAAUAUGUCUCAACCACCAGGCCAUGAGCAGCUAGUUGGAUGAUAUGCCCAUCCGCUAAUACACAUAAAAACUAUCAGAAACCAAAAUUUUAAAAAAUAAAAUAAAAGUUGGGCCAUGGGGUGGAAGGAUAAGAGGGACAUCGCUAAGUAAUAAAGAUGGGCCUAAGGCCCAUCACCAACCCUAAUUUAAAAUAAAAUUUAAAUGAAUAAAAAGAGAAAAGGAAAAAAAUCAAAUGG
This 281-nucleotide long non-coding RNA is filed under the name Lathyrus oleraceus (garden pea). RNAcentral's name for it is "Pisum sativum (pea) long non-coding RNA (PSAT_LNC000148)". The record is from RNAcentral. Lineage: Eukaryota; Viridiplantae; Streptophyta; Magnoliopsida; Fabales; Fabaceae.